RNAcentral lists this unclassified non-coding RNA (859 nucleotides) under Hevea brasiliensis (rubber tree). Lineage: Eukaryota; Viridiplantae; Streptophyta; Magnoliopsida; Malpighiales; Euphorbiaceae. The record is from RNAcentral.
GGGUUCUUCCAUUGCCUCCAGAACCCUAGCCCUCAAAUACCCCAGGUAAGUCAUGAAGCACAACAAUGUUAUUCCCAAUGGGCACUUCAAGAAGCAUUGGCAGAACUAUGUAAGGACAUGGUUCAACCAACCUGCUAGGAAAACAAGGAGACGUGCUGCUAGACAGCAGAAGGCUGUGAAGAUCUUCCCUAGGCCAACAGCUGGUUCACUUCGACCUAUUGUUCAUGGACAAACCCUUAAAUACAACAUGAAAGUCCGUGCUGGUAGGGGAUUCUCUCUUGAAGAACUGAAGGCAGCUGGUAUUCCCAAGAAGCUAGCACCAACCAUAGGCAUUGCUGUUGAUCAUCGCCGAAGGAACAGAUCCUUGGAAGGUCUCCAAACCAAUGUCCAGAGGCUUAAGACCUACAAGGCUAAGCUAGUUAUCUUCCCAAGGCGUGCUAAGAAGGUCAAGGCUGGUGAUUCUAGUGCAGAGGAACUUGCUACUGCCACCCAGGUCCAAGGUCCAUACCUGCCUAUUACUAGGGAGCAGCCUGCUGUUGACUUUGUGAAGGUGACCGAUGAGAUGAAAUCAUUCAAGGCCUAUGGCAAGCUCCGUAUUGAGCGUACAAAUGCUCGACAUAUGGGAGCCAGGUUGAAGAGGGCAGCUGAAGCAGAAAAGGAAGAGAAGAAAUAAGCAAUUAAGAGUCAUUCUGUAGUCUGUUAAGCAUUAUCAACUUUCUGGUAGGCGUUGUGGUGAAAGUUUUAUCAUACAAUCAUUUUGAGGAACUUGUGUUUUUCAUUUUAUUUGAGGAUUUUGUUUUGUUUGUGAAAUUAUGCAAAUCUUUUGAUUAGCGCAAGACCUGUUCCUCUUCUGUUUCUG